GGGGAAUUUUCCGCAAUGGGCGAAAGCCUGACGGAGCAAUACCGCGUGAGGGAGGAAGGCUCUUGGGUUGUAAACCUCUUUUCUCAGGGAAGAAGAUCUGACGGUACCUGAGGAAUAAGCAUCGGCUAACUCCGUGCCAGCAGCCGCGGUAAUACGGAGGAUGCAAGCGUUAUCCGGAAUUAUUGGGCGUAAAGCGUCCGCAGGUGGUUACUCAAGUCUGCUGUCAAAUACCAGAGCUUAACUCUGGAAAGGCGGUGGAAACUGAGAAACUAGAGUCCGGUAGGGGUAGCGGGAAUUCCCAGUGUAGCGGUGAAAUGCGUAGAUAUUGGGAAGAACAUCGGUGGCGAAGGCGCGCUACUGGGCCGGAACUGACACUCAGGGACGAAAGCUAGGGUAGCGAAAGGGAUUAGAUACCCCUGUAGUC
RNAcentral lists this ribosomal RNA (424 nucleotides) under uncultured cyanobacterium. RNAcentral's name for it is "bacterial SSU rRNA". It matches the Rfam family "Bacterial small subunit ribosomal RNA", at positions 356 to 795 of the family's 1533-position model. The record is from RNAcentral. Lineage: Bacteria; Bacillati; Cyanobacteriota.